This 468-nucleotide ribosomal RNA is filed under the name uncultured bacterium. Its description in RNAcentral is "partial 16S ribosomal RNA". It matches the Rfam family "Bacterial small subunit ribosomal RNA", at positions 28 to 507 of the family's 1533-position model. The record is from RNAcentral.
GACGAACGCUGGCGGCGUGCUUAACACAUGCAAGUCGAACGGAAAGGCCCUGCUUGUGUGGGGUGCUCGAGUGGCGAACGGGUGAGUAACACGUAAGUAACCUGCCCUUGACUUUGGGAUAACUUCAGGAAACUGGGGCUAAUACCGGAUAGGAUCUCCUGCUGCAUGGUGGGGGUUGGAAAGUUUCGGCGGUUGGGGAUGGACUCGCGGCUUAUCAGCUUGUUGGUGGGGUAGUGGCUUACCAAGGCUUUGACGGGUAGCCGGCCUGAGAGGGUGACCGGCCAAAUUGGGACUGAGAUACGGCCCAGACUCCAACGGGAGGCAGCAGUGGGGAAUAUUGCACAAUGGGCGGAAGCCGGAUGCAGAAACGCCGCGUGCGGGAUGACGGCCUUCGGGUUGUAAACCGCUUUAGCCUGUGACGAAGCGUGAGUGACGGUAAUGGGUGAAGAAGCACCGGCUAACUACGUG